AGUGAACGCUGGCGGCAGGCCUAACACAUGCAAGUCGAGCGGAUGAAGGGAGAUUGCUCCUUGAUUCAGCUGGGGACGGGCGGGUGAGUCCUAGGAAUAUGCCUUGUAGUUGGGGAUAGGGUCCUGAAGCGGGCGCUAAUACGGUAUACGUCCAUAGGGCGAACGGGGGGGAUCAUCGGACCUUACGCUAUUAGAUGAGUCUAGGACGGAUUGGCUAGUUGGUGGGGUAAAGGCCUACCAAGGCGACGAUCCGUAACUGGUCUGAGAGGAUGAUCAGCCACACUGGAACUGAGACACGGUCCAGACUCCUACGGGAGGCAGCAGUGGGGAAUAUUGGACAAUGGGCGAAAGCCUGAUCCAGCCAUGCCGCGUGUGUGAAGAAGGUCUUCGGAUUGUAAAGCCCUUUUAGUUGGGAAGAAAAGCAGUAAGUUAAUACCUUGCUGUUUUGACGUUACCAAAAGAAUAAGCACCGGCUAACUUCGUG
Molecule: ribosomal RNA, 484 nt
Filed under: uncultured bacterium
Lineage: Bacteria
Description: partial 16S ribosomal RNA
Rfam family: Bacterial small subunit ribosomal RNA
Source: RNAcentral